CAGUACAUAGUUGUAUAUUCUGCUUGUAAGUCCUUCUAGUUCUUCUAUGUGAGACACCGCCACAGCAUGGCUACUGACAGAUGAGUGGUGUAGUUCCAUGACAGGGAAAUGAACCCGGGCAGUUGAAGUGGAGCGUGCCAAAUUUUAACCACUAGGCCAUCAAGGCUACUUCUGGCCAAUUUUUCUAUUGAGCUGUUUGUUUUCUUAUUGUUGAGUUUUAAGAGUUUUUUGCAUAUUUUGAUAAUAGUCCUUUAUGAGAUGUGUCUUUUGCAAAUAUUUUCUCCCAGUCUGUGGCUUGUCUUUUCAUUCUCUUAACAUUGUCUUUUGCAGAACAGAAGUUUUUUCAUUUUAAUGAAGUCCAAAUUAUCAAUUCUUUCUUUCAUAGAUUGUGCCUUUGGUGAUGUAUCUAAAAAGUCAUCACCAUACCCAAGGUCACCUAGGUUCUCCUCUAUGCUAUUUUCUGGGAGUUUUAUAGUUUUGCAUGUUUCAUUUAGGCCUCUGAUUCCUUUUGAGUUAACUUUUGUAAGGGGUGUAAGAUCUGUGUCUAGAUUAAUUUUUUCUUUGCAUACAGAUGUCCAGUUGUUCCAGCAGCAUUUGUUGAAAAGACUGUCUUUGCUCCACUGUAGUGCCUUUGCUCCUUUGUCAAAGGAUCUAUUUAUAUGGAUCUAUUUCUGGGCUAUCCAUUCUGUUCCAUUUAUUUAUUUGUCUAUUCUUUAACCAAUACCACACUGUCUUAAUUACUGUAGCUUUAUAGUAUGUCUUGAAAUUGAGCAGUGUUAGUCCUCCAACUUUGUUCUUCUCCUUGAACAUUCAAGAUUGGCCAUUGUGGGUCUUUUGCCCCUCUACAUAAACUUUAGAAUCUGCUUGCCAGUAGCCACAAAAUAACUUGCUGGUAUUUUGAUUGGGAUUGUGUUGAAUCUAUAGAUCAAAGCUUGGAAGGACUGACAUCUUGACAGUGUUGAGUCUUCCUAUCCAUAAUCAUGGGUUAUCUCUCCAUUUGUUUAAUUCUUCGUUGACAUCUUUCAUAAGAGUUUUGUAAUUUUUCUCAUAUAGAUCUUGUACAUAUUUUGUUAGCUUUGUAACCAAGUAUUUCAUUUUGGGGGGUGCUAAUGUAAACAGCAUUUGCUUUAAUUUCAAAUUUUACUUUUCCAUUUUGUUAUAUAAGAAAGUAAUUGACUUUUAUAUAUUAACCUUAUAUCUUGCAAUCUUGGUAUAAUCACUUAUUAGUUCCAGGAGUUUUUUGUUGAUAAUUGCAGAUUUUCUACAUAGACAAUCAUGUCAUCUGCAAACAAAGACAGUUUUAUUUCUUCCUUCCCAGUCCAUUUAUCUUUUAUUUCCUUUUCUUUUCUUAUUGCAUUAGCUAGGACUUCCAGUAUGAUGUUGAAAAGCAGUGGUGAGAGUGUUCAUUCUUGCCUUGUUCCUGAUCUUAGUGAGAUAGCUUUGAGCUUCUCACUAUUACCUUGGGAAUUUUCCUUUGGUCUUUGAAUUCCUCCUUCUGAAAAGUGCUUCCAUGACCAUUGUUCUUCACAGCCACAUCUGAAGUGGGCAUUGGGAAAUAGUCUCCUACCUGGAAGUUACAUAGCUUUCACAACAGUGAAUAAGACUUUAGUGGAGAAAAUCAUAAACCUUUAUUAAAAGAUAUUUUAAAA
Molecule: long non-coding RNA, 1649 nt
Filed under: Equus caballus (horse)
Lineage: Eukaryota; Metazoa; Chordata; Mammalia; Perissodactyla; Equidae
Description: lncRNA (ENSECAG00000053517.1)
Source: RNAcentral